Molecule: RNA transcript, 7481 nt
Organism: Helicoverpa zea (corn earworm)
Lineage: Eukaryota; Metazoa; Arthropoda; Insecta; Lepidoptera; Noctuidae
Gene: tutl
Gene name: protein turtle
Exons: 19
Source: RefSeq, a predicted model, not a curated record
GCCCGCGCCCUCGCCGCCGCAGCACCGUGCGCGCGACGCAGCUCCUACACGCACGACGCACUCUCAUACUAAUAACAAUGAAUUCCCACAUCGGCCCCCUCGCAGCUGUGCUACUAUAAUAGUUUAUGUGAUCGCCACCGGCCCAGUGCUCUCCCGGCCGCGAGACCGGUCCAGAUCGGGAAGCUGCGCCGGCCUCACGCCCGACUACAGUGGAAUGCGGCAAUUUUAACUACUGCGGACCCCGGGGACCCAUAUAAGAAUAGGGAUCGAACGAUUACAAUCCCAGCCGUAAGAGCGAGGCGCCUGGCGGUGGUCGGAUGCAGCUCGCACUGGUGAUGCAUCAACGAUGAGUCGCCGCGCGCGGCCGUGACAUGGGAGCGCAGGCAUGGGCUGGCGCGCCGUGCAACCGCCGCACAUCGCCGCCGGCUUGCUCCUACUGCUGCUAGUUAACCUGCCAGUAACCUGCCACCAAGACCACCAAGAUGCUGUGCACAUCACGGCGAUCCUCGGCGAGAGCGUGGUGUUCAACUGCCAGGUGGACUUCCCGGAAGACAUCCCGGUGCCGUACGUGUUGCAGUGGGAGAAGAAGGUAGGCGAAACGGGACAGGACAUCCCGAUCUACAUCUGGUACGAGAGCUACCCGACGCACAGCGGCGAGGGCUACGAGGGCAGGGUGUCGCGCGUGGCGCCCGACUCGCCCUACGGCGCGGCCAGCCUCAACCUCACCAAUAUCCGCGAGUCUGACCAGGGUUGGUACGAGUGUAAGGUGGUGUUCCUCAACCGGUCACCCAACCAGCACAAGAAUGGCACAUGGUUCCACUUGGACGUGCACGCGCCACCACGCUUCUCCAUCACACCGGAAGACAUUAUUUACGUUAAUUUAGGAGACGCCAUAAUCCUCAACUGCCAAGCGGAGGGCACGCCGACGCCCGAGAUCCUGUGGUACAAGGACGCGAACCCCGUGGAGCCGUCCGGCACGGUGGGCAUCUUCAACGACGGCACGGAGCUGCGGAUCAGCAACAUUCGCCACGAGGACAUCGGCGACUAUACGUGCAUCGCGCGCAAUGGCGAGGGACAGGUCUCGCAUACCGCGAGGGUCAUUAUUGCUGGAGGAGCUGUUAUUACUAUGCCGCCAACGAAUCAAACAAAGUUAGAAGGAGAGAAGGUGCAGUUCUCAUGUGAAGCGAAGGCGUUGCCGGGCAACGUAACGGUGAAGUGGUUCCGCGAGGGUGCUCCGGUGGCCGAGGUCGCAGCCCUGGAGACACGCGUCACUAUCCGGAGAGAUGGGGCUCUGGUCAUCAACCCGGUGGCGGCAGAUGACUCGGGACAGUAUCUGUGUGAAGUGUCCAACGGGAUCGGAGACCCUCAAAGUGCUUCGGCCUAUUUGAAUGUUGAAUAUCCAGCGAAAGUUACGUUUACUCCAACCGUGCAGUACCUCCCAUUCCGUCUGGCGGGUGUCGUGCAGUGCUACAUAAAGGCCAACCCUCCCCUCCAAUACGUGACCUGGACGAAGGACAAGCGGCUGCUGGAGCCGUACCAGACAAAGGACAUCGUCAUCAUGAACAACGGCUCCUUGCUCUUCACGCGGGUCAACCAGAACCAUCAGGGUCGCUAUACUUGUACACCUUAUAACGCGCAGGGAACCCAAGGCUCUUCUGGUCCGAUGGAAGUGUUAGUUCGUAAACCACCAGUGUUCACAGUGGAACCGGAACCCCUGUACCAAAGAAAGGUGGGCGAGUCAGUGGAGAUGCACUGCGAGGCGCAGGAGGCGGAGGGCACGCAGCGGCCGUCGGUGCUGUGGCGGCGGCGCGACGGGCUGCCGCUGCAGAAGGCGCGCGUGCGGGCGCUGGGCGGCAACAUCACCAUCGACACGCUGCGCCGCCAGGACUUCGGCAUCUACCAGUGCGUCGCCUCCAACGAGGUGGCAACGAUAGUAGCGGACACGCAGCUGGUGAUCGAGGGCACGCAGCCGCACGCGCCGUACAACGUGUCGGGCACGGCCACCGAGUUCCAGGUGACGCUGCGCUGGCAGCCGGGCUACGCGGGCGGGCCCGACUACAAGCAGGACUACACCAUCUGGUACCGCGAGGCCGGCUUCUCCGAGUGGACUAAGGUGCCCGUCACGCCCUCCGGUGCUACCUCUGUCACAAUAAACCGGCUGCAGCCUGGCACCACGUAUGAGUUUCAAGUGAACAGCAAGAAUACAAUAGGAGAAGGAAUGAUGAGUAAAGCUAUUACGAUAAGAACUCUCGAUGUAGGCGCCAAACCGAAGGCGGCACCGACCCCGGCGGGGCCUGUAGACGAAAAGAUAUUCCAAAACGCACCCGAAGGCUCUGGUCCGAAGUCUGGUCCUCCUCGGAACCUGACAGUGACGGAGGUGCACAACGGGUUCCUGAUCACGUGGCAGGCGCCGUUAGAGCGCUCGCACCUGGUGCAGUACUACACCAUCAAGUACCGCACCGACGCGCAGUGGAAGACCCUCAACCGAGGACAGAUACGCCCUGAGGAGACCAGCUAUUUGGUAAAAAAUCUAGUGGGUGGUCGUACAUAUUACUUCCGCGUGCUCGCCAACUCAGCGACGAGCUACGAGAGUUCCGAGGAAGUGAAGUUCCCGGUGCCGGCGCGGGUGAAGCACAAAGCCAUCACGGCGGGCGUGGUGGGCGGGAUCCUGUUCUUCAUCGUCGCCAUCAUCCUGUCGGUGUGCGCCGUCAAGAUCUGCAACAAGCGCAAGCGACGCAAGCAGGAGAAAGAAAUUAUUCGAUUGCAGCAUACAACAUGGUAGCCGCGCGACUGACAGACCUCCGCGCCGCUGAUAGCACUCAAGUGCCUUUUAAGAAGAAAUCAGAUUUAGAGAACGCGGAAUAUCGAGUAUAGUGCAGUGUUUGCGGUUUACUGCUAACUGGGUGUGGCCGGCGUCGCGCUGCGGCGGCGAGGCGCGCUACUGGGUGUCGGUGCGGCGCGUGUCGCCCGCGCCCUCCGCCUCGCCCGCGCCCUCGCUGGCGCCCUCCUCCUCCGACGACGGCGGCUUCCUGCCGCGCCUGCGCGCGCCGCUGCGGCCCUCCGCCGCGCCGCCGCUGUUCCGCGCCUCCUCCCCGGCGCUAGCGCUCCACUGGCCGCCCUGGCCCCCGUGGCCCCCCUGGGCGGCCGCCUGGACGCCCUGGUCGCCGCUACACGUCUCCGACCUCAGCUCCGUGCCCUUCCCGAGCUCUGCGGACGGCUCGUUCCCGACGCCUCCGUCUCCCUUCCGCUUGAGAUCGCUGCGACAGAGCGCACACGACGCGCGCUCCGCCGGCGCCCUCGCCCGCCCCCGCGCGCGUCCACUGCCGCGCCACGCGCGCCCGCGCCCCGUCGCCGACCUGCCGCCGCCUCCGCACGAAGCGUCGCCCGAGAGCCGCUCCUCCUCCAGCGGGUUCGGCAGCAAGAACGCGUCGUCGUCGCAACACAACCGCAGCAGUCGCACGGGCAGCCUCGCGGAGUGGAGGCCGCCGCCGUACCGGCCGCCGCCGCCGGCGCCGCCGCCGCGGCCGGGCUCGGGCGAGGCGGGCGACGCGGGCUCGGUGGACGUGCACUACGAGUGGGACCGCGCCACGCGCACGCCGACGCCGUCGACGCCGGAGCGGCCGCGCGCGCGGCCCUCGCGCGACGACGUGGAGGCUCGCGUCCGCGCCAUGAAGGAGGAGUUCCUCGAGUUCCGCAAGCGCCAGGCGCUGCGCCGCCGCUCGCCGGAGCCGCUGGCGCCGCCGCCGCCGCUGUCGCCGCUCUCCCCGAUGUCCCCGCUGUCGCCACUGUCCCCGAUGUCGCCGCUGGCUGCGCUGGCACACUCACCGCCCGCGCCGGCCGAAACUGUCUGCUGACCACCGACAAAAUUACCAUUUUCGAGUUUUAUUAGCUCAGAAUGGUUGAUUCACUCCCCACCGAGCUCUAAGUUCUAUUGAUGUACGGUUCUUCUUACCAGAGAUGUGAUGGAAGAAUUACCCAUACAUCUGUUUUAACUUCUGCUGCCCCUUCCUUAAUCAUUAUUAUUUAAAUAACACUAUUAGCUUGAGCAUUAACUUAUUGAAUAUGAGGCGCGAGCGGUGACCGCUAGUCAAUGCUGACUGUCGGUAAAUGUUCAACAACCAGUAAAGCCCAGAUCCACAAACGGGGGCUAUUCGGAUGUAGGUAUUGAUUUGGUACGUUCACUGUUUAUGUAGUGUUAAAAGAUCCCACCAGGUGACUGGCGCUACGACCACGCCGCCGGUAACCAUUAUUAUAAAUAAUAGAUUCUUAGAAAAUGAUGACUUGAGUCGCACAAAAAAAAUUGCGACUGUAAUAAUGUACGUAUAAAAGUGGAUGCAGUGGCGUUUUAUGCUCGCACUGUCUGUUUUCCUAUCUGAUAAAAUAUGUCAAUUAAAUUGUUCGGUGUAAUCUCGCACCUCGCAACACGUUUAUUGAAAUAAACAUGGCACAAUGUGACUGGCGAUAGCCGCAAAAACGAACACACUUCCACUUUUUAUUCCCAUUAAUAAAUAUGCAUCGAAACCUUCUAGGUAUUAGGCUAAUGCACUGACUGAAUGCUAAAAUACUUACUAUAAUCAGAAGUGCCAUACACACAACAUAAAGUAUCGUUGUAAUAUUUAUUGUGAUGUGGGCCGCAUGCCCGGCGAGCAGCCAGUGCGAGUGACGUUCACCUUAACGCUUUAGGUAUGAGCGGGGAAGCAUCCACGGCACCGCUCAUACCAACAUUAUAUUGUAGUUAUUAUUGUAACUAAUUACGAAUAACGAUUUACUAAAAGAACAGUCGCGACUGAGGGUCGAGCGCGCGAGCAGACGGCUCAGGGUGGACCGCGCCACCACGCGACACGUGUGAUCAGUAGCUACCAGACAGAGUUCCUGCUGACAGGUUGCGCAUUCGGGCUUCAGUCCCGACUGUUCGUUUAUAAUAUACAACAAAAUAAUCAUUAAGUAGAUUUUAGAAAUAAUUUAGAUUGAUACAAAACGUGUAAACUCAGUUUUGUUUGAUUUUUUAAUGAAUUAUUGUUUUACAAGUACAAAUUUAUUUUAUUACAUUAUUUUUAUUUAUGUAGUUACAACAAUUUAAAAUGAACAACUGUACAUAUGUAAAAACAUAUUAGAUAUUACCUAUAUACAUUUAUUUAUUUAGGUGUGGUGUGGUAUGAUUGAGGUUCUGGAGAACUGUUCGCCAGUGCUUGUGACUACUUGCGAGGCACUCGACACUGUCGCCAUUAGACACUGCCGACUUAGGAACUUCCCACAAUUAUAUUUACUAUCUCUUAUAUUAAUGAACUUAUUUUUUUAUCUUGUGUGGCUGAUGACUUAUUGAUUAAUGUUAUGAUGAUGCGACUUGAUGUGUCAAUGCCCGAAGUAAUCGCAAAGGUUCAGUCAAUUGUUUUGGACUUCACUCAAACGAUGAGUAAUUUUUUUAAAGAAUUUUUGUAUGUAAUUUUUUAAGCCCAUUUCUGAAAUUCAUUGGGAGUUAACAUUUGCUGUAUGUUUGUUAUGUCACAAAAAUAAUAUUAAUAUUUUAAUGAUGAUCGGUUCCUUGAAUAAUCCCACCUAUGUAGUUGACCAGUCAAAACCAAGACUGUUUAGUAUUAUGUUCGUUAUUAGGUUUACUUAUUGUGUCAAAUGUGCUCUUAGAUAUUUCCUUGCAUGCAUGUUGCACUUUUUGUACCUAUUGUUUGUAACGCAGAAUUUUUUAUUCGGAUAUCGAGUUAAGGACCUCCUAAAAAUAAGUAUAAAAAUGUACGCUUUAAAGAAAUUGGAAUAAAAUUACUCAUAACAAAUAGAUAGGUAGGUAUGAUAAGGUGUAGUUAGUUGUGCGUGCAUGGAAGCGUCUGACUCGGAGCACAGACGGCGUGAGUGCCGCGGAGUGACGCGAGCGCAUCACUGGUUCACUGCUCACGACGCGACGGUGUACACUUAAGCUACGUGUAACGACACAAUAGAACCUUGUUUUGUUUUUAUUAAUGUUUUACUUGUUCUCUAAGUAACUUCCGCCAUAGCAUACACUUAGAAUAUUAGGAUCGACGAUUUGUGCAAUAAAUUAUCCAUUGUUCACUAUAAAUCAAUUAUGAUAUGUUUAAAUAAUUAUGUAUGUAUAUGCUCAAUAUUUUCGACUGACCAACUGUAAAAAAUACUAUCGAGAAAUGUCUAAAUCAAUAUUGUUUAUUGCGAAUUUAUUAGUUAUGCUUUGUUAUUAGAGAAGAAUACUUUGCAAUUCGUUGAUAAGAAGUAAUGUAGAAUACGUAUUGCGAACAGACAACUGUUGGGCUAGCUUACAAGGAGGCCGUGUGGCCGGCAGUAGGGUGCACGUGCCUACAUCGUCAUUCUUAUUGUUUGGUUGACCGUGGCGGGCAUAUCACGAAUCUAAAAAAUAGUCCUGUUUUAAAUGUUUGAUCUUUUAGUAUAAUACUUAUAGAAUUGUAAAUAUUUGUUUUAUUGAUUUCAUGUCAUUCGGCGAGUGAUAUAAAGUGACCACAAUAUAUAUCGCACACAAUACGUAGGUGCACGACUACAUUCAAGUAGUUUGCGUAGGUUUUAUAUAAUAAUGCCUAAAUCACUCGUUUUACUGAAAUUAUAUUUAAAUGCGAUCAUUGUAACAACCACCAAGACUUGAAAUUCAAUUAACGUGAGCUGUUCACAACGUAUGUACCUACUUAGGUAUUAUUUUGACAAAUUUAUUAUAAUUGUACGUACGAAAGUAAGAAACAAGAGUAAUAUAUACAUAUAGCUCAAACCAUGUGAUAUCUAGUCUUUUCCAUUAUAAAAUUAUCCUUCCUUUACAUACUAAAAUUAUCAUUAAAAAUCGCAUUUUCACUUAUUUUAACCUUUUCAGAUAAUUUGGAUAUGACUGCCUACUAUUUCUCUGAAAUCGAAUCGAUCUGAAAAUGUCGAAGUUACACUAAAGUAAGCCCAAUGUCGAAACACAUGCAUUUCUUGAACGGUCUAUACACUGAACUUUUCUCGUCCAUUUAUUUCAUAAACAUAAGUAAAGGCUAAGAAGCAUUACUGAAUAAAUAGCCCAAACAUCAUUCGACAAUUUCUAGACUAAAAUGAAAAAGAUAGCAAUAUUUUAGAUUAAUGUAACUAAAUCGUAUUUAUCAGUUUGUAUAAAGGAAAGUAAUUAAACGAAGUUAUUGCACAUUGGCAGAAUGUAUUGCGGUGAAACAGGGCACCCAACUCUUAAAAACUUAAGGCAUAAUGCACAAUAUCUCAGCACAAUAAGUGAUAUUAUAAAAAAUACUCGAAUCUUCAAAAUAUCAUACUGAGCACUUUAACUGUUACUCCAAUGAAUCCACAAUAAGUUUGCCUCGAUUGAAAGAAAAUAUGCACAAGCAACAUUUUUAUAACUCGAGUAUAAAUCCAUUUUCAUUUAUAGAAUAUUUUUAGUUAUAAGUGUUGAGAUCAUGUGUUUACUGUGUAAGCACAAAAAGGAUUCAAUUCAAAAAAAUAAAAAUACAAUAACGUUGCUAUGAUUA